UUGGUACUGAGACACGGACCAAACUCCUACGGGAGGCAGCAGUGAGGAAUAUUGGUCAAUGGACGCAAGUCUGAACCAGCCAUGCCGCGUGCAGGAUGACGGCUCUAUGAGUUGUAAACUGCUUUUGUACGAGGGUAAACUCACCUACGUGUAGGUGACUGAAAGUAUCGUACGAAUAAGGAUCGGCUAACUCCGUGCCAGCAGCCGCGGUAAUACGGAGGAUUCAAGCGUUAUCCGGAUUUAUUGGGUUUAAAGGGUGCGUAGGCGGUUAGAUAAGUUAGAGGUGAAAUCCCGGGGCUUAACUCCGAAAUUGCCUCUAAUACUGUUUGACUAGAGAGUAGUUGCGGUAGGCGGAAUGUAUGGUGUAGCGGUGAAAUGCUUAGAGAUCAUACAGAACACCGAUUGCGAA
Molecule: ribosomal RNA, 409 nt
Filed under: uncultured bacterium
Lineage: Bacteria
Description: bacterial SSU rRNA
Rfam family: Bacterial small subunit ribosomal RNA
Source: RNAcentral